RNAcentral lists this ribosomal RNA (253 nucleotides) under uncultured bacterium. RNAcentral describes it as "partial 16S ribosomal RNA". It matches the Rfam family "Bacterial small subunit ribosomal RNA", at positions 524 to 776 of the family's 1533-position model. The record is from RNAcentral.
UACGUAGGGGGCGAGCGUUGUCCGGAUUUAUUGGGCGUAAAGAGCUUGUAGGCGGUUUGUCGCGUCUGCUGUGAAAAUCCGGGGCUCAACCCCGGACUUGCAGUGGGUACGGGCAGACUAGAGUGUGGUAGGGGAGACUGGAAUUCCUGGUGUAGCGGUGGAAUGCGCAGAUAUCAGGAGGAACACCGAUGGCGAAGGCAGGUCUCUGGGCCACUACUGACGCUGAGAAGCGAAAGCAUGGGGAGCGAACAGG